AUGUAUAAGGACGAGGGGAAAAGUAUGCUAACUAUCUCCCACACCUCUAAUGAGUUUAUGGAAGACUUGAAGGAGGCAGAUUUGUGUGCUGCACUUAUUGUAAAAAGAGAAGAGCACCCAACUGUUGAAAUUCCAGCAAAGGUACGUGGCUUAUUAGCAGGAUUUCAUAACAUACUUGGGGAGCCACAAGGCCUACCGCCGAUGAGAGGGAUUCAACAUAGAAUCUUAAUUCCGGCAGCAAGUCUUCCUAAUCUUCCACACUAUCAAAUGAGCCCAAAAGAGCAUGAUAUAUUGAAGGAGAAAGCAGAGGAAUCGCUACAAAAGGGGCACAUUCGAGAAAGUAUUAGCCCAUGUGAUGUACCAGCCCUACUCACGCCCAAGAAAGAUGGAUCUUGGCGCAUGUAUACGGAUAGU
Molecule: ribosomal RNA, 414 nt
Filed under: Triticum aestivum (bread wheat)
Lineage: Eukaryota; Viridiplantae; Streptophyta; Magnoliopsida; Poales; Poaceae
Description: partial small subunit ribosomal RNA
Source: RNAcentral